This 596-nucleotide small RNA is filed under the name Petrocella atlantisensis. Lineage: Bacteria; Bacillati; Bacillota; Clostridia; Lachnospirales; Vallitaleaceae. The record is from RNAcentral.
UAAUAAGUUAGAGCUGAAGAUGCAGUAUUCUAGUCAUGACCUGCGCAUCAGAAGACGGGCCUAAAAAACCGUAUAAGGGCAUAUCGAUGAAGUUUCUGGUGUGAGCUUGCGACGCCCAGUCGCGGGCUUGUGCUGGGAGUUAAGACAUUAGGGCGAUCCACAAGGGCAUGUGGGCGUUGACCCUUUUGUCGCGGAGACCAACGUAUGUGGGUUAACAUGAUCUACGGCGUUGGAUUAAACCUGUCAUGCGGCGUAAGCUGUGGACAGUGUAGCCUGCCUUGCGUGACUUUGAAGGGGAUAGUAAUUUAGGCAUUGAUUCUUAGGCCAAAGAGGAUGUGUUAUUGUUGCUUGAAAUUUGAAGUUGCUAAAGAGGCUAAGAAGCGUUUGGUGAUGUGAGGAAAACUCCUAGACUGUUCGAUAGAGGUUAUCAUAGGAUUACAGUGUGGUUAUUAAGGCGAUCUAGCGCCAGUUGUUUUGGGAAUUCAAUGAAAGAGGAAUCGCUCCUUUGGCGACAUCGGAGUUUGAAUUUGGGAAAACCUGCUAGACUACAUGCCGCAAAAUUUACUAUGGUAAUUAUCUUCAGCUUUUAAUUUUAA